Molecule: ribosomal RNA, 253 nt
Filed under: uncultured bacterium
Lineage: Bacteria
Description: partial 16S ribosomal RNA
Rfam family: Bacterial small subunit ribosomal RNA
Source: RNAcentral
UACGGGGGGAGCAAGCGUUGCUCGGAUUUACUGGGCGUAAAGGGCGCGUAGGCGGCGUGACAAGUCACUUGUGAAAUCUCCGGGCUUAACUCGGAACGGUCAAGUGAUACUGUCGUGCUAGAGUACAGAAGGGGCAACUGGAAUUCUCGGUGUAGCGGUGAAAUGCGUAGAUAUCGAGAGGAACACCUGCGGCGAAGGCGGGUUGCUGGGCUGAUACUGACGCUGAGGCGCGAAAGCCAGGGGAGCGAACGGG